Molecule: small nuclear RNA, 107 nt
Filed under: Pseudonaja textilis
Lineage: Eukaryota; Metazoa; Chordata; Lepidosauria; Squamata; Elapidae
Source: RNAcentral
GUGCUCGCUUCAGCAACACAUAUACUAAAAUUGGAAUGAUACAGAGAAGAUUAGCAUGGCCCUUGCGCAAGGAUGACACGCAAAUUUGUGAAGUGUUUCAUAUUUCA